RNAcentral lists this ribosomal RNA (500 nucleotides) under uncultured bacterium. RNAcentral's name for it is "bacterial SSU rRNA". It matches the Rfam family "Bacterial small subunit ribosomal RNA", at positions 77 to 570 of the family's 1533-position model. The record is from RNAcentral.
AGCUUGCUGCUUUUUGUCGUCGACCGGCGCACGGGUGAGUAACGCGUAUCCAACCUUCCCAUAACAAAGGGAUACUCCGUAGAAAUGCGGUCUAAUACCUUAUGUUCUCUUUAUUAGGCAUCUUAUAUAGAGCAAAGAAUUUCGGUUAUGGAUGGGGAUGCGUCUGAUUAGCUUGUUGGCGGGGUAACGGCCCACCAAGGCAUCGAUCAGUAGGGGUUCUGAAAAGGAAGGUCCCCCACAUUGGAACUGAGACACGGUCCAAACUCCUACGGGAGGCAGCAGUGAGGAAUAUUGGUCAAUGGGCGGAAGCCUGAACCAGCCAAGUAGCGUGCAGGAUGACGGCCCUAUGGGUUGUAAACUGCUUUUACAGGGGAAUAAAAAGGAACACGUGUGUUCUGUUGCAUGUACCCUGUGAAUAAGGACCGGCUAAUUCCGUGCCAGCAGCCGCGGUAAUACGGAAGGUCCUGGUGUUAUCCGGAUUUAUUGGGUUUAAAGGGAGC